GACCUCUCAUGCUUGCCCUCUGAUUUUAUCUUCAGAGCAAGCUUGAAAGCAUCUAUUUUUAUUCUCACUUACAAAUGAGGCUACCAAGGCUGAGAGAAGGCAAAUGGUUUUCCCAGGUUCAUACAACAUCUAUCAAGAGAGAAGACUGAGAUGGGGAAUACAAGGGUUUUUUUCCCUCCAGUUACAAAUGUUUUUUUUUGUUUGUUUUUUUUCUCCACAAUUUCUAGAAUGCUGUUUUGUUUUCAUUUUCCUACUCAGAGAAAUUGCCUAGUGAUUCCACCCUGAAACUCUUACCAGGAACAGGUACCUCUCAAGACCUUCCCAUUCCACAUCAGGGGUUCCCAAACAUCAGUGCACCUCAGAGUCUCCGGGAGGGCUUGGUGAACACACAGUACCAACCCCUCUUCACAUUCAGUAGGUUUGGUUGGGGCUGGAGAAUUUGCAUUUUUUUCCCAUUGAGAUAUACCUUCUAUACCAAAAAAAAUUAUUGAGAUUUAUUUUAAAUAAUAUAAAGAUCACCCAUAAACACAACUUAAUUAUUAAAAAAAAAACUUUACUUACGUCUACGACUAUCAGCACAGUCUAGUUUUAGAACAUUUCAUCACCCAACACAGAUCCUCUGUGCCUGUUUGAGGUCUCUCCCAGUUUCCACCCCUAAUCCUAUCAAACAUCAACUGGACUGCCAGCUAUCUCUAUAGAAUUGUCUUUUCUAGAUUUGUACAACAUGAUUUUGCAUCUUUUGUCUUUCUCAUCUAACCUCUCACAUGUUUUGUAAUUUUUUUGAGGUCUACCCAUGUUGUAGCAUGUAUCAGACCUUCACUCCUUGUUGCUGAAGAGUCUUCCAUUCAUUGCAUAGAUCAUAAUUUGAGUAUCUAUUCAUUGAGAAUGUACAUUUAUGACAAAUUCUUAGAUGAUUCUGAAACUGUUAUUCUGGCGAUUACAUUUUGAAAUCACUUUGUGAGAUCAACAGCUCUCAGUCGUAAAUUUCAAGAACCAUAGUUAUUAACUGUGGCUGCCUAUUGGAAGCUCCAGAGGAAAUUUUACAAAAUACUGUGUCUGGGCCUCAUCCAUAUUGUGAGUUGGUCUGAGGUAGGUUUCAGGAAUAAGUACUUUUAUAGAACUCCCUCGGUGAUUCAGACGUACAGCUGUGGCUGAGAACUACAUCUCUAAAUCCUUGCUACUGAAUGUGUGUGUCAUGGAUGAGCAGCAGCAGCAGCAACAUAAAACCUGGUAUCUUGUUGGAAUCUCUGACUGUUAAGUCCCACCCUAGAAUUCCUGAAUCAGACAGAAAAAUAUCAUUCUAACAUCCUCAAUUGAUUCCUAGACUCAUUGGGUUUUGAGAACUACUCUCUACAGCAGGGUCUAAUGCUGAGGAGCAGAAAAUAGGAAUGAAAAGAUGAUUUCACUUUCAGACCAAACAGUAAUGAGAUUUAAAAAUUUUUAAAAAAGGACUUGAACAGGUGGUUCUUUUCCUUUAGUCUGAAUUGCUGAGAUUAGCUCUUGCAUUGAUCAAACCAUGAGAUAAUUGCUGACCUUCCUCCCACUGCCUGUGGCUACAGAUGAACUUAGUGAGAGAGCUGGGUUAAACUGCUUGCUCUAAAUAGAUCUCAUUCCCUUUCCAGGGAGUGUGAAUGGGACAUACUAAUGAGUUUUAUCUGCACCCAUCCUAAUGAGGAUGUACUGGGAUUCAUCCAACAAUAUCUUAUCUGAAUUGCUGAAGCACUUUGGAUUUCAUGGGACCUCAACAUUUUGAUGAGAUUAAUUAAACCAGAUGAAUAUAACUGUUUAUUUUUGGUGAACCUGUUUAGUUCUAGGCAUGGGUAAGUAAGUACUAGGGUAUGGAGAUCAAGAUGAUGUAGAGUGUGCCUGGAGGGACUAGGUAUACUAAGGGAUACAGAGGCUCAAAGAGACUUGGUGCUCAGUGUGAUGAUAAUAAUGGAAGCCACAGAGCUUGGGAUGUAACUCAGUGAUAGAGUGCUUGCCUGGGAUGCAGGAGGUUUUGAGUUCAAUCCCCAGCAUGCCAAAAAAUAAAAUAAAAUAAAAUAAAAAUUAUGGAAGCUCCAGAAGAAAAGACAAUAACCAAUCUAGGGAAUAGAGUUUAGUCAGGGAUGGAUCCUGGAGGAGAUGAUCAUUGCAAUAAGGUUGGAUAGUUCGCAUAAUGAUUUAGGUUAUAGAGAUGAGAAAGGGGCAUUCAUUGGCAAAGGAAAGAACUAGGGAAAGGACCUAGAAAUAUGAAAACACUUGACAUCUUGCUUUUGUUUUAAGUUGAAAUUUUGUCUUAGAAUAUUGUUUUGGAUACAGGAGCUCAGAUUUGUAUAUUUUGUGGAGGGUCAGCAGAGGAAUUCAUGCUAAAUUUUGAACAUGAAGCAAGAAAUACUUUCAAAGCAGAGAACUUACGUCAGCUCGGUUUCUAACAAUGAAGCAGACUGCAAAAAGGGAAAGACUUGCACUGCUUUGAACCUGGGAGCUCUGGCAGAUGGGGAUCUAUUCAGGGUCACUAUGACUCUUCUCACCUGGGAUGGGAAGUCUGACAACUCUCUUCUGGAGUCUUGUGACAUGAGGAUACCCAAGAACAUGUUGUGGAAGAAACUGACAACCACUCAAAUGGAGAGUCCACCUCUGACACAAAGAAGCCCAAUGGGCAAAAGGAAGCCAGGCAGGGAGCUCUAGGUGUAUUCUCCAGAAGUGUAAAAUAUGAGAUAUAGCCAUGAGUUCAAAUCAGAUCUUGGAACUCACCAAAUAUGGCAAGAGUAUGAGUAGAGCAUCAAACGCCAGGUCAUGUUUGAUACAGAUUAUCAAUCAAUGCCAAUUUCCCUCCCUUCUGUAGCCCGUUUCUGUAGCAAGACUCUUAAAAUCGAACCCAGAUUCCAAUUUUCAUUUGCACUAUUCACCUUUACUAUAAUUUUGCUUAUUUUAAUAUUCUGACCUUAAAGAGAGGUCAGACUCUCCCAUUGUUGACUGUGGACUUCUGCAAUAGUCAACUAAAGAAAUGAAAUUUCCCUUCUCCUUCCCGUUCCUCCCUGCCUUUCUUCCAAGUCAAACAAACCCCACAGCAGCUGCCUGAAUAUUGAGGGCUUAAUCACAUUCAAAAUGAAUGGAAAGAAUUAACAUGCAAGGGAUUAUCUCAUUUCAAUCCUCAAAAUAACUCCACAAAGUAGAUAAUGACAUACUAUCCCCACUUUACAAGUUUAGAAACAUUGAGCAUGCAAUCUUGCCCAAGACCACCCAGCUGGUAAGUGGUAGACUGGUCUGUCCAAGUUUACCCUGGAUUAGGCUGCACUCAAUGAGACUGUUCUGCAUGCCAGCAACUCAGCCAACAAUGGAGAGACGCAUGUCCUAAGAUGCCCCAGGUGUGGUGGUGUUCAGGUUACCACCCUCAGAAACAGACUGUAAUGAUGUUGGGGGCAGCCCUGGGAUUGUGAAUUGUUGCCAUGAAUAUGAAUGGAUAUGAGUUUACUUUGGGUCUAUAACCUGAGGUCAGGCGGUCAAGGGCCUGCUUUGAAGGUGCCCACCUGAUGUUCCACAUGUCUCAUUUAGAAUUCCUACUGUGUUGUGGGAUCAAUGCAGGACUCCCAUCCAAGGAAGGGCACAUGAGUCACAGCUGCAGAACAAUUCCAUUUCAUUGGAUACCAGCAGGCAAUUUCACUUGAAAACAAAUUAUGCUUACGAAAGGGUUGGAUGAGUCCAUUGUGGACUACACUGCAGUGUAGUGUAGCAGGUUAUUUCUUGUCCUUAAUUACUCUGUCCUCUGGUGGGGACAGAAAAUAAGUUUAAUCCAUUACAUUCUGUUCUCCAAGUAGAGACCCCUUUAGUUACUACCACUUUUAAGAUACUCAUUUUGUUUGAAUGAAUGUGAUUGUUGUUUUAAAUUUGUAAAUUAAUAUAAUUAACGAAGAAAUUCUAACUGAAGUGUGG
Molecule: transfer RNA, 3915 nt
Filed under: Marmota monax (woodchuck)
Lineage: Eukaryota; Metazoa; Chordata; Mammalia; Rodentia; Sciuridae
Rfam family: tRNA (bases 1953-2024)
Source: RNAcentral